RNAcentral lists this ribosomal RNA (407 nucleotides) under uncultured bacterium. RNAcentral's name for it is "partial 16S ribosomal RNA". It matches the Rfam family "Bacterial small subunit ribosomal RNA", at positions 30 to 526 of the family's 1533-position model. The record is from RNAcentral.
AUUGAACGCUGGCGGCAUGCCUAACACAUGCAAGUCGAGCGGAGCUGCGGACGGGUGAGUAAUGCAUAGGAAUCUGCCUGGUAGCGGGGGAUAACGUCAGGAAACGGGCGCUAAUACCGCAUAAUAUUAGAUGAGCCUAGGUCGGAUUAGCUAGUUGGUGGGGUAAAGGCCUACCAAGGCGACGAACCGUAACUGGUCUGAGAGGAUGAUCAGGAAAACUGGAACUGGGACACGGUCCAAACUCCUAGGGGAGGCAGCAGUGGGGAAUAUUUGACAAUGGGCGAAAGCCUGAUCCAUCCAUGCCGCGUGUGUGAAGAAGGUCUUCGGAUUGUAAAGCACUUUAAGUUGGGAGGCGUUACCAACAGAAUAAGCACCGGCUAACUUCGUGCCAGCCGCCGCGGUAAUAC